This 290-nucleotide unclassified non-coding RNA is filed under the name uncultured fungus. Its description in RNAcentral is "sequence contains 5.8S rRNA gene". The stretch from base 1 to 53 matches the Rfam family "5.8S ribosomal RNA", at positions 102 to 154 of the family's 154-position model. The record is from RNAcentral. Lineage: Eukaryota; Fungi.
GAACGCAACUUGCGCUCCUUGGUAUUCCAUGGAGCAUGCCUGUUUGAGUGUCACGUAAACCCUCGCCCAAGUGAUGUUACAGUCGUCUUGUGGUGGAUUUGGAUUGUGCCGUAAUUGGCUCAUCCUGAAAUGCAUUAGCUUGCGCUUUUUACAGUGCUCGGCAUGGUGUGAUAAUUAUCUGCGCCGUCGCCUUAGGCCUGUUCUAUAUGUGUAGCUUCUAAUCGUCCCUUGUGGACAACUUACUUAACACUUUGGCCUCAAAUCAGGUAGGAUUACCCGCUGAACUUAAG